This 376-nucleotide ribosomal RNA is filed under the name uncultured bacterium. Its description in RNAcentral is "bacterial SSU rRNA". It matches the Rfam family "Bacterial small subunit ribosomal RNA", at positions 524 to 898 of the family's 1533-position model. The record is from RNAcentral.
UACGGGAGGUGCAAGCGUUGUUCGGAAUCACUGGGCGUAAAGAGCACGUAGGCGGGUUCGUAUGUCAUCUGUGAAAACCCUGGGCUCAACCUGGGACCUGCAGGUGAAACUGCGAAUCUUGAAUACCUAAGAGGGUGGGGGAAUUCCUGGUGGAGAAGUGAAAUUCGUAGAUAUCAGGAGGAACAUCGGAGGCGAAGGCGCCUGCCUGGUAGUGUAUUGACGCUGAGGUGCGAAAGUGCGGGGAGCAAACAGGAUUAGAUACCCUGGUAGUCCGCACCGUAAACUAUGGAUACUAGGUGUUCGAGGAGUUAACCCCUUGAGUACCAAAGCUCACGCAUUAAGUAUCCCGCCUGGGAAGUACGGUCGCAAGACUAAA